GACGCAUAGCUCAGUUGGUAGAGCAGCUGACUCUUAAUCAGCGGGUCCUAGGUUCGAGCCCUAGUGCGUCCACCA
Molecule: transfer RNA, 75 nt
Filed under: Stutzerimonas stutzeri
Lineage: Bacteria; Pseudomonadati; Pseudomonadota; Gammaproteobacteria; Pseudomonadales; Pseudomonadaceae
Description: Pseudomonas stutzeri tRNA-Lys
Rfam family: tRNA
About the family: Transfer RNA (tRNA) molecules are approximately 80 nucleotides in length. Their secondary structure includes four short double-helical elements and three loops (D, anti-codon, and T loops).
Source: RNAcentral